AUUACCAUAAACAAAAGAUAAAUAAGCUAACAGUCCUGCAAGAAACACAAUUCGAUCAUACCAUUUUAUUUAUUCUAAAAAAAAUUAUCUAAAAAUGUGAAGCAACUAAACUUUGAACUUAAAAUCUCGAAAAUUAACCAUCAAAUUCUUUACAUAUAUGGUAAGACAACCUUAGCCAUACAACUUUGAGAUAAAUAAGCUAACAAUCAUGCAAGAAACACAGUUCGAUCGUAUCGUUUUAUUUAUUCUAAAAAAAAAUUAUCUGAAAAUAUGAAGCAGCUAGACUUCGAACUUAAAACCUCGGAUAUUAACCAUCGAAUUCUUUACAUAUAUAGUAAGACAAUCUUUUUUUCUUUUUAUUUUUGAGAGAGAGAAAGGUAGUAUGCUACCCGCUUCGUUUAUUUCAUUUAAAAAUAAAUUUAGCUGAAAAUGUGAAUCAACUAGGAUUCGAACUUGGGUCUCGGAUACCAACCACUAAGCCUUUUUGCCACUUGCGCUAGGGACGGUCGGUUAGUAAGACAACCUUAGCCAUACAACUUUCAAAUAAAAAAAGCUAACAGUCGUGUAAGAAACAUUUAGUUCGAUCAUAUUGUUUUAUUUAUUCUAAAAAAAAUUAUUUGAAAAUAUAAAGUAACUAGACUUCGAACUUAAAACCUCGAAUAUUAAUCAUCGAAUUCUUUACAUAUAUAUAGUGAGACAACCUUAGCCAGACAACUUUUAACCAAACCGCAAAGCUAACUACUAAAGCUUCGUUUGGAAUUGCGAGGAGAUUACGUUACGUGUGGUGAGAAAGUACGUUGGAAAAAUAUCCUGUUUAUUUCCGUACGUAAUAUUGCGUUCCGCAUAUCGCGAUGAGUCGGUUACGAUAUAUUUUCUGCGGUCCCACCGGAGAACGCAGAAGCAUAUCCCUAUAUGCUUUUUUCUCAACUCCAUUUUAUCUAAUAGCAUUAGAUAGACCUCAAUACCAAACUAAGCCUAAAGCUUCGUUUGAAAUUGCGGGGAGAUUACGUUACGUGUGGUGAGAAAGUACAUUGGAAAAAUACCAUGUUUGUUUCCGUACGUAAUAUUGCGUUCCGCAUAUUACGAUGAGUCGGUUAUCCCACCGGAGAACGCAGAAACGUAUCCCUAUAUAUUUUUUUCUCAACUUCAUUUUAUUUAAUAGCGUUAGAUAGAAUUCAAUACUAAACUAAGCCUAAAAGAUGGAGGAAGCAUAAGAAAUCUUUGCGUUGAAAAAUACGAGAGAUUUGAGAAAAAAAAGUUUAGUCAGUACAGUGGUUACCAUAUAGCUUUCACCUUCAGCCACGCUCUAAAUCCGUGAUAAACUAGUGAAAUACCCGCGCGAUGCUGCGGAUCUAAAAUAUUUUUACAAUAAAUUUUAUUUUUUUAAAUAUUUUUAUAUAGUUUUAUAAGUCUAAUUAUUAAUUAAAUAAAAAUUAUAUAAAAAUAAUUUAAUAGUUAAAUCUAUUUAAAUAAAAGUCAUUAAAAUUAGUAUAUGCCCAAAUAAAUUUAUACAUCACUUUAUUUUAUAAAGAUUUAUAUGAGAAGGAUUUGAGAUAAAUCUAUCAAAAUAAUUUUUAAAAAAUCAAU
RNAcentral lists this long non-coding RNA (1587 nucleotides) under Ananas comosus (pineapple). Its description in RNAcentral is "long non-coding RNA (ACOM_LNC016176)". The record is from RNAcentral. Lineage: Eukaryota; Viridiplantae; Streptophyta; Magnoliopsida; Poales; Bromeliaceae.